CCUGAGAGGGUGGACGGCCACAUUGGGACUGAGACACGGCCCAAACUCCUACGGGAGGCAGCAGUGGGGAAUAUUGCACAAUGGGGGAAACCCUGAUGCAGCGACGCCGCGUGAGCGAAGAAGUAUUUCGGUAUGUAAAGCUCUAUCAGCAGGGAAGAAAAUGACGGUACCUGACUAAGAAGCCCCGGCUAAAUACGUGCCAGCAGCCGCGGUAAUACGUAUGGGGCAAGCGUUAUCCGGAUUUACUGGGUGUAAAGGGAGCGCAGGCGGCUUGGCAAGUCUGAUGUGAAAGGCUGGGGCUCAACCCCAGGACUGCAUUGGAAACUGUUAGGCUAGAGUGUCGGAGAGGUAAGCGGAAUUCCUAGUGUAGCGGUGAAAUGCGUAGAUAUUAGGAGGAACACCAGUGGCGAAGGCGGCUUACUGGACGACAACUGACGCUGAGGCUCGAAAGCGUGG
RNAcentral lists this ribosomal RNA (456 nucleotides) under uncultured bacterium. RNAcentral's name for it is "bacterial SSU rRNA". It matches the Rfam family "Bacterial small subunit ribosomal RNA", at positions 291 to 764 of the family's 1533-position model. The record is from RNAcentral.